This 1678-nucleotide long non-coding RNA is filed under the name Fragaria vesca (wild strawberry). Its description in RNAcentral is "long non-coding RNA (FVES_LNC001287)". The record is from RNAcentral. Lineage: Eukaryota; Viridiplantae; Streptophyta; Magnoliopsida; Rosales; Rosaceae.
AAGAUGCAAAUCCGCCAGAGCUACUGCAAUCUCCGGCCAUAGUGGCGUCCAAGCUAACACCGGCGAUGAUGACUCGGCGCCGCCGGAUAGACGACGACAACGUCACUUGGAUCUGGACGCCGCUAGAUCGACGACGAUGCUGCCGGCUCAACCUCGAUUGCGUCUCCAAUUCCAUCGUCGAGGAGCUUGGCUAGAUCUCCGAUUCCAUCAAUGAAGACCUUGACUGGAUCUUCGGUUUCGUCGACGACGACCUCGACUGGAUCUCCAAUUCGGUCAACGACGACCUCGACUAGAUAUCAUAUUCCGACGACGACAUCUCGCUCGACCUUGUUUACAAAUCUGAUUCCGAGGCCUAUAUCUCCGGUGUCGAUCUGCUUCUCCGACGACGAUAACGACGCUGCCGGCCGAAGACGACGCCUCGAUCUCGACCUUGACGCAGUCGGCCUUACGUGGAUGUCUCGAUUGUGCCCUAGGUCGUCGUCGUUCUCGAUGAAGUUCGUGGAAAGCUCUCAAACCCUCAUAUCUGAGCUAUCAAUGUAAACCUCUUCUAAUUUCUCACUUUGAUUAUCCGUCCUUCUUUCAAUGAGCUAGAGGCUGCUGCCAUGGCAUGUGCUGAUCUGAUGGCCGCUAGACGACUUGUAAUCUAGCUUCAGGUGGUGGUAGUAGUUUUUGUAGAUGAUAGUAGUAGCUUUUGUGGCUGGUAGUAGUAUUUUUUGUGUUAGUCGGAAACCUCAUAGUAGUAGCUUUUGUAGGCGGUGGUAGUAGCUUUUGUAGCCGGUGGUAGUAGCUUUUGUGGCUGGUGGUAGUAGUUUUGUGUUUUGUCGGAAACCUCACAGUAGUAGCUUUUGUGGCUGGUGGUAGUAGUUUUUGUGUUUCGUCAUAAACCUCACAGUAGUAGCUUUUGUAAGCGGUAGUAGUAGCUUUUGUAGGCGGUGGUAGUAGCUUUUGUAGCUGGUGGUAGUAGCUUUUGUAGCUGGUGGCAGUAAUUUUUGUGUUUCGUCGGAAACCUCACAGUAAUAGCUUUUGUAGGCGGUAAUAGUAGCUUUUGUAGCUGGUGGUAGUAUCUUUUAUAGUUAGUAGUAGUAAUUUUUGUCAUCAUCGGAGGUCAGUCGGAAACCUCACCGGAGGUCGGCCGGAAAUCUCGUCGGAGAUCAGCCGGAAACCUCGCCGGAGGUCGGCCGGAGACUUUUCCAAGAUGAGAGUGGUUGUUGACUUUUUAUACUAGUGGUAUUUUUGUAAAUAUAAAGGAGAAAAUCUAAUGUUUUUUAUUGGAUGGCAGUCUGUAAUUUUGUUCAAUUUUUAUACCUAAUAUAAAACCUUAUUUAGGCUUAGGUGGACUUAUGUGAGUAAAAAUGUUUGGGUGGACUUAUAUGAAAUAAAAUGUUUAAAAGUGGACUUCUAUGUAAUUGGCACAAACCUCUACUAUAGGGUCAUUUUCUUAUGGAGUCACCGAACGAGGCAACAGUACUAGUCGUCUUGCUCCGGAAGUCUAUAUGUUAGUAGCAGCACCGCACCUUUGUGACUUUUGAAAUUUUGCUAAUUUUUCUUUGCUUCUAUAUAUAUAUAUAUAUAUAUAUAUAUAUAUAUGUAUCUCAUCAGAGGAUUGGAGAUGCGACUCACAGUUAUUCUGAUGUUGUGUAGAGAAGUUAUGCUAGUCGAUCAGGUUUUAGUCAUUCAG